RNAcentral lists this ribosomal RNA (393 nucleotides) under uncultured bacterium. RNAcentral's name for it is "partial 16S ribosomal RNA". It matches the Rfam family "Bacterial small subunit ribosomal RNA", at positions 523 to 918 of the family's 1533-position model. The record is from RNAcentral.
AUACGGAGGAUGCAAGCGUUAUCCGGAUUCAUUGGGUUUAAAGGGUGCGUAGGCGGUUUGCUAAGCGGGAGGUGAAAUGCCGGCGCUCAACGUCGGAAGUGCCUCCCGAACUGGUGGACUGGAAUGACUCUGCCGUGGGAGGAAUGUGUAGUGUAGCGGUGAAAUGCUUAGAGAUUACACAGAACACCGAUUGCGAAGGCAUCUCACGAAGGGUUGAUUGACGCUGAGGCACGGAAGCGUGGGGAUCAAACAGGAUUAGAUACCCUGGUAGUCCACGCAGUAAACGAUGAUGGCUAACCGCUGGUUUAUUCGGAUCAGUGGCCAAGCGAAAGCGAUAAGCCAUCCACCUGGGGAGUACGACCGCAAGGUUGAAACUCAAAUGAAUUGGCGGGG